GAUGAACGCUGGCGGCGUGCCUAAUACAUGCAAGUCGAGCGAACAGAUGAGGAGCUUGCUCCUCUGACGUUAGCGGCGGACGGGUGAGUAACACGUGGAUAACCUACCUAUAAGACUGGGAUAACUUCGGGAAACCGGAGCUAAUACCGGAUAAUAUAUUGAACCGCAUGGUUCAAUAGUGAAAGACGGUUUUGCUGUCACUUAUAGAUGGAUCCGCGCCGCAUUAGUUAGUUGGUAAGGUAACGGCUUACCAAGGCAACGAUGCGUAGCCGACCUGAGAGGGUGAUCGGCCACACUGGAACUGAGACACGGCCCAGACUCCUACGGUGGGCAGCAGUAGGGAAUCUUCCGCAAUGGGCGAAAGCCUGACGGAGCAACGCCGCGUGAGUGAUGAAGGUCUUCGGAUCGUAAAGCUCUGUUAUUAGGGAAGAACAAAUGUGUAAGUAACUAUGCACGUCUUGACGGUACCUAAUCAGAAAGCCACGGCUAACUACGUG
Molecule: ribosomal RNA, 497 nt
Filed under: uncultured bacterium
Lineage: Bacteria
Description: partial 16S ribosomal RNA
Rfam family: Bacterial small subunit ribosomal RNA
Source: RNAcentral